This 541-nucleotide ribosomal RNA is filed under the name uncultured eukaryote. RNAcentral describes it as "bacterial SSU rRNA". It matches the Rfam family "Eukaryotic small subunit ribosomal RNA", at positions 1103 to 1655 of the family's 1831-position model. The record is from RNAcentral.
GUAUUCGGGUUCCGGGGGGGAGUAUGGUCGCAAGGCCGAAACUUAAAGGAAUUGACGGAAGGGCACCACCAGGAGUGGAAUCUGCGGCUUAAUUUGACCCAACGCGGGAAAACUCACCAGGUCAGGACACGGUAAGGAUUGACGGACUGAAGGCUCUUUCUCGAUUCCGUGGAAAGUGGUGCAUGGCCGUUUUUGGUUGGUGGAUCGAUCCGUCUGGUUAAUUCCGUUAACGAACGAGACCUCGGCACUCCGAAUAGCGCGGCGGACGUCGCGGCCUCCGGGCCGUCUUCCGCACGAGCUUCUUAGAGGGACCGUCCCCCGCCGGGGAAGGAGGUGCGAGGCAACGACAGGUCUGUGAUGCCCUUAGAUGUUCUGGGCCGCACGCGCAUUACACUGACGCGUCCAACGGGUGACUCCCGACCCGAAGGGGCCGGGGAAUCCGCAAGGCGCGUCGUGAUGGGGAUUGAACGUUGCAAUUGUUGUUCACGAACGAGGAAUUCCUAGUAGGCGCGGGUCAUCAACCCGCGCCGAUUACGUCCUG